GUGCUCUGGUGUACAGAGGCUGAGGACAGAGCAAGGACAAAUGUCCUGCUUUUAAUUUUGCUGAGGGUGUAAAAUGAGUCGAGGCUUUCUGCAGUCACUAUUCUAUUCAUAUCUUUUGUGUCCGAUGCUAUUUUUGUUGGCUGUGCCCCUGGAGGUGGAGGUGUGGAAGUGCGUUUCUGCUGGUCUUUGCAAGCGGUGUAGAUGUUUCCUCUGUUCCAGGCACCACCUCACACGCUGCGGCCUUACAGGAGGAGUAGGCGGAUGUCAGCGUAGCCAUUUCUCACCUGUCUGUAACUUUUUAAUACUUCCUUUUACUUGGCUUUGCAUUUCUUCCAUGGAACGAACAUCUCUGGGUAGCCACUGGGAGGUGUAAACGGCUUGGGAUGGAAACCACAGCUUGUAGGUGCGCCCUCUGCCAGGCUUUUCUGGCACCCGAGGAAGCCCAGUCUCUGCCUGCUCCCAAGCGAAAGGGAUAUUACCAGCUGCUCGGUGAGAAAACAAAUUCACAGAGAUACAGGAAAGUGUGUUAAGUUGGUGGGAAGCAACGGGCAUGAGAUUCCUGGCAGCUCGGGUGACUGGCAUUAUUUUGGAACCCAAUUCUCAAACAUCUGGGAUUAGCUCUCCUGGAAAUGUGAGGAUGUGGGCCCUCUAGUGCCACUUGGAAAAUGUCAGUAUUCCAGCCCACAGUCUGCAAGGGAGGUGUUAUUUGGCAAAUCUCCUGCAUGUGGCCGGUCCAACUGGAUAAUAGAUCCAGCAGUAACUCCUAGCAACAGGAACUCUUCCCCUUCAGUGGUUGCUUGAUGUCCUGUGUGAAAUGAGAGUUCAGCCAAUGGUAUAGGCACUUCUUAGUGGACAAGUAUCUACGCAUGUUAUUCUGCAGUAACUGGUGUCUCCAUGUCUGCCAUUCUCCCUUGCCAGCCCAGCAGAGAUAACUGAAGUUACCUGGAAAUAAAUUUCUCCAUCAAGUGUCCUAGCUGAGGCUUUGCUGCAAUAACAGCACAUGCACAACUUGUGCUGCUUAGUUUAUCUUUGGAUGGACAAUUGCUAUCUCCAGGCCUACAGAGUAA
Long non-coding RNA from Manacus vitellinus (golden-collared manakin), 1067 nucleotides. RefSeq lists it as uncharacterized. The record is from RefSeq and is a predicted model, not a curated record. The transcript is spliced from 3 exons. Lineage: Eukaryota; Metazoa; Chordata; Aves; Passeriformes; Pipridae.